GUGUGUGUGUGUGUGUGGCGUUCAAGGCUCUCUUCUCCACCUUAUCAUGCUCCCCACAUAGUUGGGCUCGCGGGGCUCUCACUGCCCCCGCACCCCCGGGCCUCGGCCCUUUCUCCACAGCAUCCUGCCUCAAAACACUGGCUCGCUGCUUAUUGGCUGCAAGUCGUGCACGUGGGGAGGCCCAGGCCGCCCGAGCAGGGACCUGAGGCCGAGAAGAUGAGUCCGAGUCCAGCCCCAGACACUUCCUGGCCCUGCGACUCUGGACAAUUCCCCGACAUUCUGCCCGCCUCGGUUUCCUUCCCUGGUAAAAUGGGGAUGAUAGUAAUAGAGAAGCAUGAUGUCUUCCCACCUCCUGACGGGCGAUGGAGGAAGCCGUGGGGGUCCACGCUCUCUUUUCUAGAUGCUUCCCAUUGCUUCCCCUCCAUCCUUCAGCUGGAGGCAUUAUUUUAGGCAGCAAACAUGAGAAUGGGCUUUGCUGGGUUUUGCAUAAUGGCCCCGAGUCUCUCCUUCCCCCCUCCCACCUUACAAUUAGGGGAGAGAGUGAGAAUAAGAGUAGAUUUGGGGUUGUUAUCAUUUUAAUUGAGUAAAUAAGCCUCACCUCCCCCAAGCAGCCAGGGCUGGCCCUUAAUACUUUUAUUAAAAGUGGAGCCUUGGGAAGAGUCACUGAGAGUCCCAGAUUUCACUCGGCGCAAAGGCUUUUGUGGGACCCCUGGCCCAGCCUGCCCCGGGUAGUCCCCGCCUGCCGCCAGCCCCGGCCCCCGGACGCCUCCUAGAACUCGUCGUGGGCAAGAGGAAGCCCACGGUUGUGUCUUGUCUGACUCGGCACAUUUUGGUUUGGGGUUUUGGGUCCCCCCCAGAGAGAUGGAAGAGAGAUUUCUGUCCUUUAAAAAAUGGAUUAUAUUAAAGAGCCCCCAGCCAGCGAUCUGCACGGGCUCCUGCUAAGCCACCGACACUUUGCUAAAUGAGAGGAAGGGCCGCUGGAGAGGGGGCGGGACACCCUGUGGGGGCAGUUGUCGGGCGGGGAGCUCAUUCCUCCACGGGACCCAAGAGAUCAUCCGGUCAGGCGCCCCCUUUGCAGGAGACUGAGAGCCAGGACCCAAGACCUGGUCCGGGGCUCUGUGUCUCCACCCGGGAAGUAGCCACAUCGAGGCCCAGGGCCGGAGGAGCUUAUUCUGCCCCCUCCCACAGCUCCCAGUCUCUCCUCUCUCUCCUCUGAUAUUCGAACUCAGUACAAGAGUUUCUGCGCCUCAGAAAUAAGAACCCCCUUUAGAGCUUACAGCUCUUUGCCACGGGGUCCACUCUUUUCUAGAUGUUCCCCGUUGCUCCCGCUCUAUUUGCUGUUCCCCACACAGACGGCAGAGCAUCCUCCCUCCGUGCCUUUGAGCGGCCUGUCUGCCAUGUCUAGUUAUCUCAUUUAAUCCUCAAAACAACCCUGGAAGGUCCAUCUUGUUUCUCUUAUAGACCGUAAUCUCCCUGAAGAUGGAAGUUUUCAUGUUUUUUGGUUUUCUGUCUUUGCACGGCACAUAGUAAGCGCUUAAUAAAUGCUUGUUGGAUCAAAUGUGGGCUCCGGUGUCAUCCUGGGCAAUCCCUUCCCUGCCCCGAGGCCCCGGUGAGCGCCCCUGGGAGAACCCUGGGUCUCACUGACACAAAGAAGCUGGGUUCAAAUCCCGCCUGGGCCAGCUGGGGCCUCAGUUUCCAAAUCUAUCAAAUGAGGGGGUGACUUAGAUGCCUCGGGGGCUUGUAAGGCAGCUGGGAAAUAGAAACCUCAGUGAAGGAUCUGCUCCCAUUACAUCUCUCUUCCCUGGAUGCCGCUGGGGACGUCGUGGCCGGGGCGGGAGGCCCGGCCCAGCCCUGAGACCACAGCCUCGGGGCCCUGCGGGCACAAGCCUCAGUCUCCUGGGAAAGGCCCAGCUCCAGCCCCUCCCCAGAGGCCAUCGGAGGCUCGAUCCCCGCCGUCGGGUGGUCCCGAGUUAGUGCUGAUGGCGCCAAACACCACCCAGUGCUCCGGGCAGGGACCCCCAGACAUCGCCCUCGCUGCUGCCCUCGCUCCGAGCCGGGGGCGCAGGGAUGCCCCGGCCUCUCCCUCCCCAGCCGUGCCCCCGGAGGCAGGGAGACCCGAACUCAAAUCCUGCCUCGGACACUUAAUGCUCCUGGCCAAACCCCCCAAGUCACCUUCAGAAUGGAGAGAACGGGAGCCCCUGUGACAGGACUGGAGCAAAUGAGCCAUGUGAGGGGAGCAAAUGUCAGCUGCUGGAGCACGUUGUCCUUCCACAGCUUUCUUCUGGUAGAAUGUGAGCUCCUCGAGGGCAGCAGCUGUCUCACUGCGGUCUGAAUACCCGAUGCCCAGCAUGCAGUAGGUGUUUAAUAAAUGCUUCUUUAUCGA
This is a long non-coding RNA of Antechinus flavipes (yellow-footed antechinus), 2383 nucleotides long. RefSeq lists it as uncharacterized. NCBI's taxonomy places the organism in Eukaryota, Metazoa, Chordata, Mammalia, Dasyuromorphia, Dasyuridae. The record is from RefSeq and is a predicted model, not a curated record. The transcript is spliced from 2 exons.